This is a long non-coding RNA of Sitophilus oryzae (rice weevil), 264 nucleotides long. RefSeq lists it as uncharacterized. Lineage: Eukaryota; Metazoa; Arthropoda; Insecta; Coleoptera; Curculionidae. The transcript has 2 exons. The record is from RefSeq and is a predicted model, not a curated record.
GGUACUUGUGGUAACAGUCGUUCAGGCAAGCAGUCAGUUAAAUGCAGGUAAAAAAAAGGGAGUCAAUCGCCAGAUCUUCGCCAACAUUCCAUGUAAAGCUGGAUACAUACGUGUCAUAGGUGGGAAGUGCCCAGAAACAUGGCCCAAAAUAAGCUAAACCCUAAGCAAAAGAAUAUAUACCGGCCAUCAGUAAAAAAUGGACCAAUACUAUGUAUAUAAUAUAUUUAUACUUGUAUAAAAUAUAUUUAAUGCCUACUAAAAGAA